RNAcentral lists this ribosomal RNA (460 nucleotides) under uncultured bacterium. RNAcentral describes it as "partial 16S ribosomal RNA". It matches the Rfam family "Bacterial small subunit ribosomal RNA", at positions 338 to 795 of the family's 1533-position model. The record is from RNAcentral.
CCUACGGGAGGCAGCAGUGAGGAAUAUUGGUCAAUGGGCGCGAGCCUGAACCAGCCAAGUAGCGUGAAGGAUGACUGCCCUACGGGUUGUAAACUUCUUUUAUAAAGGAAUAAAGUGAGGCACGUGUGCCUUUUUGCAUGUACUUUAUGAAUAAGGAUCGGCUAACUCCGUGCCAACAGCCGCGGUAAUACGGAGGAUCCGAGCGUUAUCCGGAUUUAUUGGGUUUAAAGGGAGCGUAGAUGGGUUGUUAAGUCAGUUGGGAAAGUUUGCGGCUCAACCGUAAAAUUGCAAUUGAUACUGGCAGUCUUGAGUACAGUUGAGGUAGGCGGAAUUCGUGGUGUAGCGGUGAAAUGCUUAGAUAUCACGAAGAACCCCGAUUGCGAAGGCAGCUUACUAAACUGUGACUGACAUUGAUGCUCGAAAGUGUGGGUAUCAAACAGGAUUAGAUACCCCAGUAGUC